UACGUAGGGGCCGAGCGUUGUCCGGAGUUACUGGGCGUAAAGCGCGCGCAGGCGGCUCGUCAAGCCUGACGUGAAAGCCCCCGGCUCAACCGGGGAGGGUCGUCGGGGACUGGCGGGCUUGAGGUCGGCAGGGGUUGGUGGAAUUCCCGGUGUAGUGGUGAAAUGCGUAGAGAUCGGGAGGAACACCCGUGGCGAAGGCGGCCAACUGGGCCGCACCUGACGCUGAGGCGCGAAGGCGUGGGGAGCGAACAGG
This 253-nucleotide ribosomal RNA is filed under the name uncultured bacterium. RNAcentral's name for it is "partial 16S ribosomal RNA". It matches the Rfam family "Bacterial small subunit ribosomal RNA", at positions 524 to 776 of the family's 1533-position model. The record is from RNAcentral.